UAGACUCUGGGAUAACUCUUGGAAACAGGUGCUAAUACCGGAUAUGAACUUCCGUGGCAUCACGGAAGUUGGAAAGCUCCGGCGGUCUAGGAUGGACUCGCGGCCUAUCAGCUUGUUGGUGAGGUAACGGCUCACCAAGGCUUCGACGGGUAGCCGGCCUGAGAGGGUGACCGGCCACAUUGGGACUGAGAUACGGCCCAAACUCCUACGGGAGGCAGCAGUGGGGAAUAUUGCACAAUGGGCGCAAGCCUGAUGCAGCAACGCCGCGUGCGGGAUGACGGCCUUCGGGUUGUAAACCGCUUUCAGCAGGGACGAAGCUAACGUGACGGUACCUGCAGAAGAAGCACCGGCUAACUACGUGCCAGCAGCCGCGGUGAUACGUAGGGUGCGAGCGUUGUCCGGAAUUAUUGGGCGUAAAGAGCUUGUAGGCGGUUUGUCGCGUCGGGAGUGAAAACUCAGGGCUUAACCCUGAGCCUGCUUUCGAUACGGGCUGACUUGAGGAAGGUAGGGGAGAACGGAAUUCCUGGUGGAGCGGUGGAAUGCGCAGAUAUCAGGAGGAACACCGGUGGCGAAGGCGGUUCUCUGGACCUUUCCUGACGCUGAGAA
This 606-nucleotide ribosomal RNA is filed under the name Tessaracoccus sp. GNS13.8c. RNAcentral's name for it is "bacterial SSU rRNA". It matches the Rfam family "Bacterial small subunit ribosomal RNA", at positions 132 to 752 of the family's 1533-position model. Lineage: Bacteria; Bacillati; Actinomycetota; Actinomycetes; Propionibacteriales; Propionibacteriaceae. The record is from RNAcentral.